AUUGAACGCUGGCGGCAUGCCUUACACAUGCAAGUCGAACGGCAGCGGGGGAGAAGCUUGCUUUUCCUGCCGGCGAGUGGCGAACGGGUGAGUAAUACAUCGGAACGUGCCCUGUAGUGGGGGAUAACUAGUCGAAAGAUUAGCUAAUACCGCAUACGACCUGAGGGUGAAAGUGGGGGACCGCAAGGCCUCAUGCUAUAGGAGCGGCCGAUGUCUGAUUAGCUAGUUGGUGGGGUAAAGGCCUACCAAGGCGACGAUCAGUAGCUGGGCUGGGAGGACGAUCAGGCACACCGGGAGUGAGACACGGCCCAGACGCCUACGGGAGGCAGCAGUGGGGAAUUUUGGACAAUGGGCGAAAGCCUGAUCCAGCAAUGCCGCGUGUGUGAAGAAGGCCUUCGGGUUGUAAAGCACUUUUGUCCGGAAAGAAAUGGCUCUGGUUAAUACCUGGGGUCGAUGACGGUACCGGAAGAAUAAGGACCGGCUAACUACGUGCCAGCCGCCGCGGUAA
This 508-nucleotide ribosomal RNA is filed under the name uncultured bacterium. RNAcentral describes it as "partial 16S ribosomal RNA". It matches the Rfam family "Bacterial small subunit ribosomal RNA", at positions 29 to 523 of the family's 1533-position model. The record is from RNAcentral.